This 261-nucleotide long non-coding RNA is filed under the name Zosterops lateralis melanops. Its description in RNAcentral is "lncRNA (ENSZLMG00000013630.1)". Lineage: Eukaryota; Metazoa; Chordata; Aves; Passeriformes; Zosteropidae. The record is from RNAcentral.
UGAUAUUCARUUCGUGUGAUCUUUUUCUCUUUGUUUUAGCACCUAAGGCACCUGCGGCCRGCAGCCUCACCCUUGCAAGUGCCAGACCAGCAUGGAGACAAAAAGAUCAGCCUCACACUCAAAAGCAAUUUGUCUUUGAAAAACCGUCAGAGGUGGAGCGCAGAGUUCCUGAGGCAGGUGUGAUAGACAAGCCUGGUGUGUAUGAGCUCAGCAAGGGACCAACUGGUAUUUCUAGGAUUCAUUUGAUUCCUGGCUUUAUUG